This 504-nucleotide ribosomal RNA is filed under the name uncultured bacterium. Its description in RNAcentral is "partial 16S ribosomal RNA". It matches the Rfam family "Bacterial small subunit ribosomal RNA", at positions 30 to 523 of the family's 1533-position model. The record is from RNAcentral.
AUUGAACGCUGGCGGCAUGCAUUACACAUGCAAGUCGAACGGCAGCAUGGAGAGCUUGCUCUCUGAUGGCGAGUGGCGAACGGGUGAGAAAAGCAUCGGAACGUACCGUGUAGUGGGGGAUAACGUAGCGAAAGUUACGCUAAUACCACUGACGCACUAAUGUUGAAAGCAGGGGAUCGUACGGCCUUGCGCUAUACGAGCGGCCGAUGUCAGAUUAGCUAGUUGGUAGGGUAAAGGCCUACCAAGGCGUCGAUCUGUAGCGGGUCUGAGAGGAUGAUCCGCCACACUGGGACUGAGACACGGCCCAGACUCCUACGGGAGGCAGCAGUGGGGAAUUUUGGACAAUGGGGGCAACCCUGAUCCAGCCAUGCCGCGUGAGUGAAGAAGGCCUUCGGGUUGUAAAGCUCUUUCGGCCGGGAAGAAAUCGCACAGGCUAAUACCCUGUGUGGAUGACGGUACCGGCAUAAGAAGCACCGGCUAACUACGUGCCAGCCGCCGCCGUAA